Molecule: long non-coding RNA, 250 nt
Filed under: Brassica napus (rape)
Lineage: Eukaryota; Viridiplantae; Streptophyta; Magnoliopsida; Brassicales; Brassicaceae
Description: long non-coding RNA (BNAP_LNC021798)
Source: RNAcentral
AUUACAUAAUAAAAUCGAGUUUGGCAAUAAAAAGGAAUAGCCACAAAUUGGAACUGCAUAAUAGAAUUUUAAAUAGUAUUAAACAAAACCAUUCUUCACAUUUGUGACAAAUUCCUUUUGAGUUCUUAUAACUAGCAACCUGUUUUUUGAACACAUGUUCGUGAUGGCUUUUAACUUCCCAUAUCAAAUAGAACACAAUUGAUUUUUCAUGAGGUCCUUGUUUAGAUCUUCAAACUUUAUCAUGCUGAGU